RNAcentral lists this ribosomal RNA (780 nucleotides) under uncultured bacterium. RNAcentral describes it as "bacterial SSU rRNA". It matches the Rfam family "Bacterial small subunit ribosomal RNA", at positions 8 to 796 of the family's 1533-position model. The record is from RNAcentral.
AGAGUUUGAUCCUGGCUCAGAACGAACGUUGGCGGCGUGGAUUAGGCAUGCAAGUCGAACGAAUCCCUGAGGGCUUGCUUUCAGGGGGAAGUGGCGAAAGGGGCAGUAAAGCGUGGGUAACCUACCCCGGGGACCGGGAUAGCCCUCCUAACGGAGGGGUAAUACCGGGCGAUGCGGCGAGGGGGCAUCUUCUUGCCGUGAAAUGAGUUUCGCCUCGGGAGGGGCUCACGUGCUAUUACCUAGUUGGCGGGGUGACGGCCCACCAAGGGGAAGAUGGCUAGCCGGCGUGAGAGCGUGACCGGCGCCACUGGCACUGAGACACUGGCCAGACUCCUACGGGAGGCUGCAGUCGAGGAUCUUCGGCAAUGGGCGCAAGCCUGACCGAGCGACGCCGCGUGUGCGAUGAAGGCCUUCGGGUUGUAAAGCACUGUCGAGGGGGAGGAAGCCGCAAGGUUGACCUAUCCCUGGAGGAAGCACGGGCUAAGUUCGUGCCAGCAGCCGCGGUAAGACGAACCGUGCGAACGUUGUUCGGAAUCACUGGGCUUAAAGGGCGCGUAGGCGGCUUGCCAAGUCAGGGGUGAAAUCUUUCGGCUUAACCGGAAAACAGCCUCUGAUACUGGCGAGCUCGAGCGAGGUAGGGGCCGUUGGAACUUCCGGUGGAGCGGUGAAAUGCGUUGAUAUCGGAAGGAACGCCGGUGGCGAAAGCGAACGGCUGGACCUCUUCUGACGCUGAGGCGCGAAAGCCAGGGGAGCAAACGGGAUUAGAUACCCUGGUAGUCC